Molecule: ribosomal RNA, 207 nt
Filed under: Catenaria anguillulae
Lineage: Eukaryota; Fungi; Blastocladiomycota; Blastocladiomycetes; Blastocladiales; Catenariaceae
Description: partial large subunit ribosomal RNA
Rfam family: Eukaryotic large subunit ribosomal RNA
Source: RNAcentral
CCAUGGGCAUGUCCGUGAAUGUAAAGUCCACUGGGAAUGUGGCAGCGCUUCCUGCGUUCUUUGGGUCAGAGGAGGGUGAAAACCCCGUUUACAUUCAUUGUGGGGCGUGUCUGUUGUGUGGGCGUGUUGAAGAGUCGGAUUGUUUGGGAAUGCAAUCCAAAACGGGUGGUUCAAUCCAUCCACUACUUAAUAUUNGAGCGAUCACCG